CCCACAUCCUUCUAGAGGAGCCUGUCCUACAACCGAUACUCCCCGUUUAACCUCACCACCCUUAGCUUUUCAGCUUGUAUACUUCCGUCGUCAGCUUACCGCAUGAGCGAAUAAGUAAGCUUAACGUCCUCAUCAACACGUCAGGUCAAAGUGCAGCACAUAGUGUGGCAAGAGAUGGGCUACACUUUCUACCCUAGAAAAUACGAAAGACUACAUGAAACCACAUUCAGAAGGCGGAUUUAGCAGUAAGGAGGGAAUAGAAUGCCCCCCUUAACCUGGCACUGGGGUGUGUACACACCGCCCGUCACCCUCUUCAACAAAUUACUCAGUUCUUAACAACUAAUCCACUUAAAGAAGAGGCAAGUCGUAACAUGGUAAGUA
RNAcentral lists this ribosomal RNA (381 nucleotides) under Pristimantis croceoinguinis (Santa Cecilia robber frog). Its description in RNAcentral is "partial 12S ribosomal RNA". It matches the Rfam family "Bacterial small subunit ribosomal RNA", at positions 919 to 1502 of the family's 1533-position model. Lineage: Eukaryota; Metazoa; Chordata; Amphibia; Anura; Strabomantidae. The record is from RNAcentral.